GGAAUAUUGCGCAAUGGGCGAAAGCCUGACGCAGCGACGCCGCGUGAGUGAUGAAGGCCUUCGGGUCGUAAAGCUCUGUCGGGAGGGACGAAAUCUCAUCGGCCAAAUACGUCGAUGACUUGACGGUACCUCCAAAGGACGCACCGGCUAACUCCGUUCCAGCAGCCGCGGUAAUACGGAGGGUGCGAGCGUUGUUCGGAAUUACUGGGCGUAAAGCGCGUGUAGGCGGCUCCUUAAGUCUGGUGUGAAAGUCCGAGGCUUACCCUCGGAAGGGCAUUGGAUACUGGGGGGCUAGAGUACCGGAGAUGAAGGCGGAAUUCCUGGUGUAGCGGUGAAAUGCGUAGAUAUCAGGAGGAACACCUGUGGCGAAGGCGGCCUUCUCGUCGGAUACUGACGCUGAGACGCGAAAGCGUGGGGAGCAAA
This 423-nucleotide ribosomal RNA is filed under the name uncultured bacterium. Its description in RNAcentral is "bacterial SSU rRNA". It matches the Rfam family "Bacterial small subunit ribosomal RNA", at positions 358 to 772 of the family's 1533-position model. The record is from RNAcentral.